This 330-nucleotide ribosomal RNA is filed under the name uncultured eukaryote. RNAcentral's name for it is "partial 18S ribosomal RNA". It matches the Rfam family "Eukaryotic small subunit ribosomal RNA", at positions 1470 to 1796 of the family's 1831-position model. The record is from RNAcentral.
CCCUUAGAUGUUCUGGGCCGCACGCGCGCUACACUGAUGCAUUCAACGAGUCUAAAACCUGGUCUGAUAGGGCUGGGUAAUCUUUUGAAUGUGCAUCGUGAUUGGGAUAGAUGAUUGCAAUUCUCCAUCUUCAACGAGGAAUGCCUAGUAAACGCAAGUCAUCAGCUUGCAUUGAUUACGUCCCUGCCCUUUGUACACACCGCCCGUCGCUCCUACCGAUUGAAUGUUCCGAUGAAUACCAUGGACUGAGAGUAUGAAUGGGUUCGCCUAUUUCUGCUUCUCGGGAAGUGGAGUAAAUCUUAACAUUUAGAGGAAGGAGAAGUCGUAACA